This is a transfer RNA of Ipomoea nil (Japanese morning glory), 82 nucleotides long. It matches the Rfam family "tRNA". Rfam says of the family: Transfer RNA (tRNA) molecules are approximately 80 nucleotides in length. Their secondary structure includes four short double-helical elements and three loops (D, anti-codon, and T loops). Further hydrogen bonds mediate the characteristic L-shaped molecular structure. tRNAs have two regions of fundamental functional importance: the anti-codon, which is responsible for specific mRNA codon recognition, and the 3' end, to which the tRNAs corresponding amino acid is attached (by aminoacyl-tRNA synthetases). tRNAs cope with the degeneracy of the genetic code in two manners: having more than one tRNA (with a specific anti-codon) for a particular amino acid; and 'wobble' base-pairing, i.e. permitting non-standard base-pairing at the 3rd anti-codon position. The record is from Rfam. Lineage: Eukaryota; Viridiplantae; Streptophyta; Magnoliopsida; Solanales; Convolvulaceae.
GUGGGCGUGGCGAAGUGGUUAUCGAUUAUGACUAGAAAUCCUGUGGGCUUUGCCUGCGCAGGGUCAAAUCCUGCUGCUCAUG